RNAcentral lists this ribosomal RNA (460 nucleotides) under uncultured bacterium. Its description in RNAcentral is "bacterial SSU rRNA". It matches the Rfam family "Bacterial small subunit ribosomal RNA", at positions 57 to 566 of the family's 1533-position model. The record is from RNAcentral.
GCAGUCGACGGAUCCUUCGGGAUAGUGGCGGACGGGUGAGUAACACGUGGGAACGUGCCCUUUGGUUCGGAACAACUCAGGGAAACUUGAGCUAAUACCGGAUAAGCCUUUCGAGGGAAAGAUUUAUCGCCAUUGGAGCGGCCCGCGUAGGAUUAGCUAGUUGGUGGGGUAAAGGCCCACCAAGGCUACGAUCCUUAGCUGGUCUGAGAGGAUGAUCAGCCACAUUGGGACUGAGACACGGCCCAAACUCCUACGGGAGGCAGCAGUGGGGAAUCUUGCGCAAUGGGCGAAAGCCUGACGCAGCCAUGCCGCGUGAAUGAUGAAGGUCUUAGGAUUGUAAAAUUCUUUCACCGGGGACGAUAAUGAAGGUACCCGGAGAAGAAGCCCCGGCUAACUUCGUGCCAGCAGCCGCGGUAAUACAAAGGGGGCUAGCGUUGCUCGGAAUUACUGGGCGUAAAGG